UACGUAGGUGGCAAGCGUUGUCCGGAUUUAUUGGGCGUAAAGGGAGCGCAGGCGGUGACUUAAGUCUGAUGUGAAAGCCCACGGCUCAACCGUGGAAGGUCAUUGGAAACUGGUCGACUUGAGUGCAGAAGAGGGAAGUGGAAUUCCAUGUGUAGCGGUGAAAUGCGUAGAGAUAUUGAGGAACACCAGUGGCGAAGGCGGCUUCCUGGUCUGUAACUGACACUGAGGCGCGAAAGCGUGGGGAGGCAAACAGGAUUAGAUA
Molecule: ribosomal RNA, 262 nt
Filed under: uncultured prokaryote
Description: partial 16S ribosomal RNA
Rfam family: Bacterial small subunit ribosomal RNA
Source: RNAcentral